AGCGAACGCUGGCGGCAGGCCUAACACAUGCAAGUCGAACGAACAGUUCGGAGUUGGUGGCGGACGGGGGAGGAACACGGGGGAACGUGCCCAUUGGUUCGGCAUAACUCAGGGAAACUUGUGCUAAUACCGAAUGGGCCCUUCGGGGGAAAGAUUUAUUGCCAUUAGAGCGGCCCGCGUCUGAUUAGCUAGUUGGGGAGGUAACGGCUCACCAAGGCGCCGAUCAGGAGCUGGUCUGAGAGGAUGACCAGCCACACUGGGACUGAGACACGGCCCAGACUCCUACGCGACGCAGCAGUGGGUAACCUUGCGCACUGGGCGAAAGCCUGACGCAGCCAUGCCGCGUGAAUUAUGAAGGUCUUAGGAUUGUAAUAUUCUUUCACCGGGGACGAUAAUGACGGUACCCGGAGAAGAAGCCCCGGCUAACUUCGUG
RNAcentral lists this ribosomal RNA (433 nucleotides) under uncultured bacterium. RNAcentral's name for it is "partial 16S ribosomal RNA". It matches the Rfam family "Bacterial small subunit ribosomal RNA", at positions 29 to 507 of the family's 1533-position model. The record is from RNAcentral.